Molecule: ribosomal RNA, 253 nt
Filed under: uncultured bacterium
Lineage: Bacteria
Description: partial 16S ribosomal RNA
Rfam family: Bacterial small subunit ribosomal RNA
Source: RNAcentral
GACGUAGGGGGCAAGCGUUGUUCGGAAUUAUUGGGCGUAAAGCGCUCGUAGGCGGGACAGGAAGUUCGUGUUGAAAGACCUCGGCUCAACUGAGGGACCGGCUCGAAUACUCUUGUUCUUGAGGCAAUCAGAGGGUGAUGGAAUUCCCGGUGUAGAGGUGAAAUUCGUAGAUAUUGGGAAGAACACCGAUGGCGAAGGCAGCCAUCUGGACCGACACUGACGCUGAGGCGCGAAAGCGUGGGGAGCAAACAGG